AGACAUGCCCGCCUCGUGGAGGAAGCUCCAAUGAUCCGCGUGGUGGGGCUUUUAAAAAAAGAAACUAGCCUUAGUGUUUUAUUAUUAUUAGAGCUGAAACACGCGACGUCGGCGGAAUCUACACAAAGCAAUUGCACGCCUUACCUCCGGGCGAUUUUGUACAGCAGGACUCCCCCGGCGGCGGCGGCGCACACCGUCACCCCCAGGCCCCCAGCCAGGCCGGCGGUAGGGCAGCCGGCCAGCAGCGCGCCGACUCCCUGCAUGGCCGCUAGUUCUGCAGGAGGAAAAGGUGGCGAGGAGGAGGAGGGAACGGAAUCGCAACGGCCGCUGCUCAGGCUUUCUCGUGCAAAAGGCGGGCGGCCGUGGAAAAAGAGAAGCGAGGCUGGCUGGCUGAGGAGAAGCGAGUCUGCUCCGCGUGCGAGGUCGGGUGGAAGGGCAAGGGCCGGCGCCAAGCGAAAGCGUUCCCGCCUUUGAGGACGCGCUCUUAGACCGCUCGGCUGCCGUCUUCGGAACCCCGCGAGCCCUUUCGAACGUUCGAGUAACAAACAGCCCUUUGAGAACGCGGAGUGUCCAAUCAGCCGCUCGCACCUCUCCCGUCAGCUGCUCCGAACGUUCCGGCCGCCUGCAUUGAAGCAGAAAGAGCCGCCUGGAGAUCAGAGCGAGACGCGACGCGUGGAGGAAGGUUUUGCAGCAGGAGGAGCGGCGGGUAAUUAGAGCGGCUCCUUUUUUCCCCUCCCUGUCUCUUCUCCUUGUUCCUCCUCCCUCUUUCUAAAGCGGCGUGACCUUCCUCUCCGGCUGCUGCUCCUCCUCUUCCAGGAGGCGCCGAUCCGCCCCUUUUCCUCCUGCGCCGCCCGUCGCCGGCCCGCAGCGCGGGUAAGCCCGACCCCAGACCUUGGGAAGGGAAGAGAAGAAAGCCGAGGCUGCGGUCCUUCUGCUAGCUUUCCCGGGAGGGGAGCCCGCCAGACCCAGCAUGGCGCUUACUUCCGAGUAAGACCCGCCCGCAAGGCUGCCGGAUGGGCGUGGCGUUGCCCCUUUGGAAACCUAACGGGAGUUCCCGUCUUCGGAUCGGACUGCAGCGCGCGCGCGGGAGCCGUUCCCACGACCACCUCGUCCUGUCCCGAUUGACGAGCCGUCCCCGUCCCGGCGACUUAUAGAGAGGGAUUCGUGGGUGGGAAAGGUGGGCGGCGGUGGGGGCGUUCGUGGCGGCGAGGGAAGAGCAGCCGCGUGAAAGGCCACGGUCGUGCCAGACGGCGUGUGUGCGUGUACGGAUCAGCCCUCGGGCGGAAGCAGUCAGGCACGAGAAGCCGUCCUUGAGAAGGGACUCACGGAUGGAGCCGUUGAAAAGCAGACGUCGUGCCGGAUAUUUUAGACUGGCCAGCCUGCACCCUUUAAGGUGGACAAGACGAUCGCCGUGUUUGGGAUCUGCCUCAUGAGCUGGGCAAAGAGUCCUCGGUAAAAGGCCAGGUAGCCUUCCUCCUGAAAUACCAGCCGGGCUGUCUGAACAAAUGUCUUGUACUUGGUGCCUUCCUCCCGAAGCCUUGUCCGUACAACCUCUGGGAAGGGAGAUAGAGUUCGGGUCCUCCAGAUGGCUAGGCUUGACUACCUUGACCUGUGAUGCUCGGACUGACUUCCUUCCAUCGCAGACUGAUAUGCUUAGGGAAGCUUAUCUGCCCCAUCUCCUUCGGCCCUUCCCUUCUUCUCUUCUUCAACUGUCUGAGAGAGAGGAGACAUAUUUGUCUCUGCUCUCUCCCUCCUGAGCCACGAGGGCAACUCCCAAACCUGGGCGUUGCGCCUCCAACUUAGUUAGAACUAGGUAUACCUUUCUAAUCUACUACGUAUUCUAUAAAUUAAAUAGCUUUUCUUAUGUUACCAAGUCUUAAGUCUCAGUGAUCUCAAUGCCUGCUAUUUAGGUAAAUGCACACACUGGCACACACGCAUCUCAGACCGUUGACGAUCUCGGCUCAUAUCUAUACAAAUUUACAUAACAAUACUCACUUCAGAAGCCGGAUGAGGCCCGGAGAGACGGACGUCUGCCGGACGACCCCUUCACCACUGAUUGUGCCCAGAUGGACUUGAGGGUAGUAGAGUGUGCGGAAGGACAGUUUCGAAGACUGGAGCCUCGUCUUGAUGACUUCUAAGGGGCACGUGAAGAUGGCACCAACCGUCCCGCCACAGCUGAGAAGACAAAUGUACAAGAGGGGUCAAGGUCAAAAGAAAGGGAAAGAGAUCUGAACCCCAACAUACCGACCGCGAGUUAGAGGCAAACCUGUUUCGACACUCCAGGUUGUGGCUUAACCAGCGUGGCAAAGUGGUUAGUGUUGGACUGUGACAUGGAGAGGCAGGGUUUGAAUCCCAACGCAGCCAUGAAGCUCAGUGGGCAUGGCCUUGGGCAGUCACUGCCUCUCAGCCUAACCUACCUCACAGGGUUGUUGUGGGGAUACAAUGGAGAGGGAGGAGAAACAUGAAUGCCACCUUGAGCUCCUUGGAGGAAAGGUGGAACAUAAAUGCAAUAAUAAAUAAAAAAAAUAUUGUUGUUGUUGCUGCUACUAUUAUUAAAUUUAUAUCCUGCCCGUCCUCCCAAACGGAACCCAGGGUGGCAAAAAACAGGGACAAAACACUAAUAAAAAACUUUAAAAAAAUCUUAGUAACAAUUACGAUGCAGACUGGGAUAUGGUCUCUACUUAAAAGGCUUUUUGAAAGAGAAAGGAAUUUUUAUUGCCAUCAUUUUACAAUAUAUAGAAGGGAGAAAAGGAAUACACAUACAGCACUUACAUACAGGUACUGUUGCAGUGCUAAUAAGGCCAAGUCAUAUACAUGGGGUAAUUAAUUUAAAGAAUUUUCACCCUACUCUUCAGCCAUUAAAGGUUCCCGCAGUGGCUUAGAUAAGAUCUAUUUAAAAGAAGAAGAAGACCGCCCCUUCCUACUGGCUUAUGCUCUAAAAGACAUGACAGAAGAGGAAACAGAAGGGAAGAGGGAAGAGAAAAAGCAAGCAAGCUCAGGUUCCACCGGUUUAUCACAAUGUUCGUAAUAGCAAACACAAUUCUACAUUCUGUUGUAUUACACCAGUAAAUGACAAAUAAACUCCAUUUCUUGAUAA
Long non-coding RNA from Rhineura floridana, 3097 nucleotides. RefSeq lists it as uncharacterized. The transcript is spliced from 3 exons. NCBI's taxonomy places the organism in Eukaryota, Metazoa, Chordata, Lepidosauria, Squamata, Rhineuridae. The record is from RefSeq and is a predicted model, not a curated record.